GGACUACUGGGGUAUCUAAUCCUGUUUGCUCCCCACGCUUUCGAGCCUCAGCGUCAAUAAUAGCUUAGUAAGCUGCCUUCGCAAUCGGUGUUCUGUGACAUAUCUAUGCAUUUCACCGCUACUUGUCACAUUCCGCCUACCUCAACUAUAUUCAAGCUCGUCAGUAUCAAAGGCACUGCGAUGGUUGAGCCACCGUCUUUCACCCCUGACUUAACAAGCCGCCUACGCUCCCUUUAAACCCAAUAAAUCCGGAUAACGCUUGGAUCCUCCGUAUUACCGCGGCUGCUG
Molecule: unclassified non-coding RNA, 288 nt
Filed under: uncultured fungus
Lineage: Eukaryota; Fungi
Description: sequence contains ITS1
Source: RNAcentral